GGGGGAUCGGAGGAUCACUCCCAACCCCAUGUGAACCAUACCGAAUGUUGCUUCGGCGGGCUCGGCGCUCCGGCCCGGCGCCCGCCGGAGGUAUCAAACUCUCUGUUUUUUUGGUGGCAUUAUCUGAGUAGCGCAAGCAAAUAAAAUCAAAACUCUGAACAACGGAUCUCUUGGUUCUGGCAUCGAUGAAGAACGCAGCGAAAUGCGAUAAGUAAUGUGAAUUGCAGAAUUCAGUGAAUCAUCGAAUCUUUGAACGCACAUUGCGCCCGCCAGUAUUCUGGCGGGCAUGCCUGUUCGAGCGUCAUUUCAACCCUCAAGCCCCAUUAGGCUUGGUGUUGGGGAUCGGCCGCGGCGGCUUCUCGUCGCCCGCGGCCGGCCCCGAAAUAUAGUGGCGGUCUCGCUGUAGCCUCCUCUGCGUAGUAGAAACACCUCGCUCUGGAAGACAGCGCGGCCACGCCGUAAAACCCCCAAGUUUUACUGAAGGUUGACCUCGGAUCAGGUAGGAAUACCCGCUGAACUUAAGCAUAUCAAUAAGGCCGGAGGAA
Molecule: ribosomal RNA, 545 nt
Filed under: Hypocreales sp. KH00321
Lineage: Eukaryota; Fungi; Ascomycota; Sordariomycetes; Hypocreales
Description: eukaryotic LSU rRNA
Rfam family: 5.8S ribosomal RNA (bases 151-304)
Source: RNAcentral